Molecule: transfer RNA, 77 nt
Filed under: Dehalococcoidia bacterium
Lineage: Bacteria; Bacillati; Chloroflexota; Dehalococcoidia
Also listed under: 1 other name
Description: tRNA-Pro
Rfam family: tRNA
About the family: Transfer RNA (tRNA) molecules are approximately 80 nucleotides in length.
Source: RNAcentral
CGGGGUGUAGCUCAGCCUGGUAGAGCGCUUGCUUUGGGAGCAAGAGGCCCCGCGUUCGAAUCGCGGCACCCCGACCA